GGCAUAGAUAUUUUAAUUUGCUAACAUGUUUUAUUCUGUGUAUUAACACAGAUUUGUACGUGACAAUAUGGAGUUUUCUGUUAAAUUAGCAAGCCAAUCGACGCUAUUUAAAACAAACCUAUGUGGCAGAGUGAAAUUCCACUUAUUUUCUGUCUUACCUAACCUUCUUCUCAGUAAAAUCACUUCAAAAACGAAUUAUUUCUUUUUAAAAUAGAAUAUUUUAGAGGUGGACUUUUAUUUUGACAGGAAAGUCACGGAGCUAGGAAGUGCUCACAGGGGCAGCGUUCAGGAGCAGACAGGCUUGUGCGGACUAAGGGAAGUUGCAUCGAGGAGCAGUAUACUAAAAGCUCUAUUGGCAAGACUAGUGUGUUUGUGUGGAGAGGGAGGACAGUGCCACCCAGUGAUGGGAAGGUGUACCUGCACUCUUGGAAGAAAAGGAAAGACCUGUAAACCAGUGUUACCCAGGGGGCGCUAUGGAGCACAGUGCCGUGGUGUAUGUUCAUGUGUAAAUGGAGGUGUCUGUGACAGGGCUGAUGGAACCUGUAGAUGUGGACUGGGUUGGACCAGGACACACUGUGAGGAAGGUAAACUGUGUGAUUAUAGUGAGUUUACUGUGGCA
This 619-nucleotide long non-coding RNA is filed under the name Astyanax mexicanus (Mexican tetra). Its description in RNAcentral is "lncRNA (ENSAMXG00005005275.1)". Lineage: Eukaryota; Metazoa; Chordata; Actinopteri; Characiformes; Acestrorhamphidae. The record is from RNAcentral.